Dama dama (fallow deer) is the source of this 339-nucleotide long non-coding RNA. RefSeq lists it as uncharacterized. The record is from RefSeq and is a predicted model, not a curated record. Lineage: Eukaryota; Metazoa; Chordata; Mammalia; Artiodactyla; Cervidae. The transcript is spliced from 3 exons.
GCAGCACAGAUUGGUCGCUUGUGCUUUAUGGGGUGUACAAGGCGGCUGCUCGCGGUUCCCUUCGCCUCAGUGCGGGAGGACUAGACGCCACCGAGCUCCGAACUCGCACCAGGUUUCAGAGCCUCUAGACCAGCUUUCAUGCAUCGCCACAGGCAGGUCAUCAAACCCCAGGUAGAUGAUACUGAGCAUUCUGAUGAGGAAUGGACACCAAGGCAGCAAGCAUGCUUCCCCAAUGGCUUAGCAGAUGAAGAAUCUGCCUUCAGUGCAGGAGGCACAGGAGAUGUUGGUUCAAUCCAUCGGUUAAGAAGAUCCCCUGGAGAAGGGAAUGGCCACCUCCAC